CCCUUAGAUGUUCUGGGCCGCACGCGCGCUACACUGACGAUGGCAACGAGUUUUUCCUUCGCCGAAAGGUGUGGGUAAUCUUUUGAAACAUCGUCGUGCUGGGGAUAGAUCAUUGCAAUUUUUGAUCUUGAACGAGGAAUUCCUAGUAAGCGCGAGUCAUCAGCUCGCGUUGAUUACGUCCCUGCCCUUUGUACACACCGCCCGUCGCUACUACCGAUUGAAUGGUUUAGUGAGGACUCCUGAUUGGCGCCGCCGCCCCGGCAACGGAGCAGCGGACUGCCGAAAAGUUGUUCGAACUUGAUCAUUUAGAGGAAGUAAAAGUCGUAACA
RNAcentral lists this ribosomal RNA (329 nucleotides) under uncultured eukaryote. Its description in RNAcentral is "partial 18S ribosomal RNA". It matches the Rfam family "Eukaryotic small subunit ribosomal RNA", at positions 1470 to 1796 of the family's 1831-position model. The record is from RNAcentral.